Molecule: ribosomal RNA, 1411 nt
Filed under: uncultured bacterium
Lineage: Bacteria
Description: 16S ribosomal RNA
Rfam family: Bacterial small subunit ribosomal RNA
Source: RNAcentral
AGAGUUUGAUCCUGGCUCAGGAUGAAUUUCUAGCGACAGGCCUAACACAUGCAAGUCGAGGGGCAUCGGGGAGCGAAGCUUGCUUUGCUCCGCCGGCGACCGGCGCACGGGUGAGUAACGCGUAUGCAACCUGCCCGUUUCAGCGGGAUAACCCGGAGAAAUCCGGCCUAAUACCGCAUGUGGCCGAGGGAAGGCAUCUUCUUUCGGCCAAAGGAGGCGACUCCGGAGACGGAUGGGCAUGCGUGACAUUAGCUUGUUGGCGGGGUAACGGCCCACCAAGGCGACGAUGUCUAGGGGUUCUGAGAGGAAGGUCCCCCACACUGGUACUGAGACACGGACCAGACUCCUACGGGAGGCAGCAGUGAGGAAUAUUGGUCAAUGGGCGAGAGCCUGAACCAGCCAAGCCGCGUGAAGGAAGGCGGCCAUAGAGGAUUGUAAACUUCUUUUGUCAAGGAACAAUAGGGUCCACGGGGUGGCUGAAUGAGAGUACCUGAAGAAAAAGCAUCGGCUAACUCCGUGCCAGCAGCCGCGGUAAUACGGAGGAUGCGAGCGUUAUCCGGAUUUAUUGGGUUUAAAGGGUGCGCAGGCGGUAUAUCAAGUCAGCGGUAAAAAUUCGGGGCUCAACCCCGUCCUGCCGUUGAAACUGACGUUCUUGAGUGGGAGAGAAGUAUGCGGAAUGCGUGGUGUAGCGGUGAAAUGCAUAGAUAUCACGCAGAACUCCGAUUGCGAAGGCAGCAUACCGGCUCCCCACUGACGCUGAAGCACGAAAGCGUGGGUAUCGAACAGGAUUAGAUACCCUGGUAGUCCACGCAGUAAACGAUGAAUGAUGGCUGUCCGGGGGGGACUGACCUCUGGGUGAAGCAGCGAAAGCGAUAAGCAUUCCACCUGGGGAGUACGCCGGCAACGGUGAAACUCAAAGGAAUUGACGGGGGCCCGCACAAGCGGAGGAACAUGUGGUUUAAUUCGAUGAUACGCGAGGAACCUUACCCGGGCUCAAACGGGGAGUGGCGCAGGCAGAGACGCCUGUUUCCCACGGGACACUCCCCGAGGUGCUGCAUGGUUGUCGUCAGCUCGUGCCGUGAGGUGUCGGCUUAAGUGCCAUAACGAGCGCAACCCCCGCGUGCAGUUGCUAACAGUCAACGCUGAGGACUCUGCACGGACUGCCGGCGCAAGCCGCGAGGAAGGCGGGGAUGACGUCAAAUCAGCACGGCUCUUACGUCCGGGGCGACACACGUGUUACAAUGGCAGGUACAGCGGGAAGCCACCCGGCGACGGGGCGCGGAACCCGAAAACCUGUCUCAGUUCGGAUUGGAGUCUGCAACCCGACUCCAUGAAGCUGGAUUCGCUAGUAAUCGCGCAUCAGCCACGGCGCGGCGAAUACGUUCCCGGGCCUUGCACUCACAGGCCGUCA